AUUGAACGCUGGCGGCAUGCUUUACACAUGCAAGUCGAACGGCAGCGGGGGCUUCGGCCCGCCGGCGAGUGGCGAACGGGUGAGUAAUGCAUCGGAACGUGCCCAGUCGUGGGGGAUAACACAUCGAAAGAUGUGCUAAUACCGCAUACGUCCUGAGGGAGAAAGCGGGGGAUCUUCGGACCUCGCGCGAUUGGAGCGGCCGAUGUCGGAUUAGCUAGUUGGUGGGGUAAAGGCCCACCAAGGCGACGAUCCGUAGCGGGUCUGAGAGGAUGAUCCGCCACACUGGGACUGAGACACGGCCCAGACUCCUACGGGAGGCAGCAGUGGGGAAUUUUCGGCAAUGGGGGAAACCCUGACCGAGCAACGCCGCGUGAGUGACGAAGG
Molecule: ribosomal RNA, 384 nt
Filed under: uncultured bacterium
Lineage: Bacteria
Description: bacterial SSU rRNA
Rfam family: Bacterial small subunit ribosomal RNA
Source: RNAcentral